RNAcentral lists this ribosomal RNA (437 nucleotides) under uncultured bacterium. RNAcentral's name for it is "bacterial SSU rRNA". It matches the Rfam family "Bacterial small subunit ribosomal RNA", at positions 43 to 524 of the family's 1533-position model. The record is from RNAcentral.
CAGGCCUAACACAUGCAAGUCGCACGGGGGCUUCGGCUCGAGUGGCGGACGGGUGAGUAACGCGUAGGAACGUGUCUUGGGGUGGGGGAUAACGCUGGGAAACUGGCGCUAAUACCGCAUAUGGGCUGAGGCCCAAAGCCUUCGGGUGCCUUGAGAGCGGCCUGCGUCCGAUUAGCUAGUUGGUGGGGUAAAGGCUUACCAAGGCUUCGAUCGGUAGCUGGUCUGAGAGGACGAUCAGCCACACUGGGACUGAGACACGGCCCAGACUCCUACGGGAGGCAGCAGUGGGGAAUAUUGGACAAUGGGCGCAAGCCUGAUCCAGCCAUGCCGCGUGAGUGAUGAAGGCCUUAGGGUUGUAAAGCUCUUUUAUCCGGGACGAUAAUGACGGUACCGGAGGAAUAAGCCCCGGCUAACUUCGUGCCAGCAGCCGCGGUAAU